AGCUGCAAAGUUCUGAGAAUCAUUUUAAGAGUUUGGUUAAAACUAAUGCUAACGUUUCUUCUAGUGUUUUACCUAUGAAAACUACACGACUGAUCUGUUAAAUAAGAGAGCACAAGUAAGAUCGGUGUUUAAAUACAGGCCCCCCUGUUAACGAGACUUCCCCAGGACCCAAAUGAGUGUCUACCAUAAAUGAAACAGGGACAUCUAAUGAACAUCCUGGAUGUGGUAUUUUUAAUGUUAGGAAACUUUCAACACCACACCUGAAAAAUAUAAUGCCAUGUCAACUUCGUAUAAUAUCAUGUUUAGUAAAGACUCAUACGGGCAGCCUCUCACGAAUAUCCUGAAUUCUGUUACCAAUAAUUUACAGGAUAUACUGGACGAGACUACUUCCCACCUAAAACCUACCAACAGAGUUAGAGUGUGUGUUUAUUUAGAUAAUUUAGACAAACCUAUUAGUACAUACUUAGGUGACAAGAUCAUGCUUUCACCCAAUAUAGUCCUAUCAAAUAUCGAAAAACUUAAUCAGAGUAAAAAGAAUAUAACAUUAGACAAAUAGUUUAAAAUUGAUGUCACUACUUUAGAAAUGCCCAUAGGUAGCAGUCAGUAUAUGAUCAUUAAUAUUAUUGCCAAUCACUUAAAAAAAUGAUCGGUUAUAUCUAUAAAAAAUUAUGAUGAUGACAUCUGUUGUGCUAACACACACCUUAAAAAUAUCCAAAAUAAAAUAGUAUUCAAAAUCAGCAAAUACUAUUACUUACACAGAUGAAUGAUCUUGCGGAAUUUAAGAAAUAGAGAGAUUUGAACGAUAUCAAAAUGUUCAAAUCAAUUUUGAUUCUUCAUAUAAUUUCAAUAGAGUUAUCUAUCCAGGUUCUACACAUCCCCAAAAUAUUUUCCUCUGGUUACAUGAUAAUCAUUUUGAUGUUAUCACGUCAAGGAAAGGUUUCCUUGGAGUAGCCUUGUACUGUUCUGUUUCUGACAAUGGGUUUGGGAAUUUAAAUAUGCACCAUUGUGCGAGUUAUUGUAAUCGACUAGUGGCAAACAGACAGUUUCUUCAUGUGAAAAUAUUUUCUGUGCAAAAAGCGUUUCAUUAUUAUCAACAGGGAAAAAUCAUUGUCCUGAUUUUCACAGAUGCGGCAAAACACAUUAUGCAGGAUGUAAAAAAAUCGUCAUACCCUCUACACAUCUAUGUUUCCUCCAUUCUAAAGAUAUUAAAAACGUGCCCCGAAAAAUAUGUGUUUUUGAUUUUGAGACUGACCAAAAAAUGGAAACUCAGGAAGUGAAUUACUGUGUGGUCCACGAUUUGAACAGUCAAAGAGACUGUAUUUAAAGGCUACAAUUCAUGUUAUGAGUCUUGUGAGUUUUUGUUUUCUGAAGAACAUAAGAAUUACACAGCCAUAUUUCAUAACAUGAUAGGAUUUGACGGUCAUUUCAUUUUAAAUUAUCUUAUCUGUCAAGGGAUAAAACCCGACAUCAUUGUUAAUGGCAGAAAAAUAAUGGUUAUGACCAUCAAACGUCUUAGAAUUAGGGUUAUCAACAGUUUCAACUUUAUCAAACCCCUUAAAAUUAGGGUUAUUAACAGUUUAAACUUUAUCAAACUCCUUAAAAUGAGGGUUAUCAACAGUUCCAACUUUAUCCUUAUGGCAUUAUUAUCAUCAUCCACUAAACUUUUGGGAUAACUGAGUUACAGAAAGGAUUUUUUUCCUCAUCUGUUUAAGACAAGGUUAAACUAAAAGUAUCGAGGUUCUUUGCCCAAUAUGAGCUUUUAUUCACCUAACACCAUGACAGCACCAGUAAGAGAAAUAUUUCUGGACUGGUACCAACAGUACUGAGAGGAAAGGUACAUCAUCGACUUUCAAGAUGAGAUGUCCUGAUAUUGUCAAUCAGAGAUCGAGGUACUUCAUAGGUGCUGUCUACAGUUCAGGGAGGAAUUUCUCGCCACCUGCGAUAUUGACCCGUUGAGAUAUACAACCUUUGCCUCUGUAUGCAUGGACAUAUACAGAAACAAGUUUAUACCACUGCAGUAUAUAACUCUUGUACCUAACCAUGGAUACAAUACAUCUAACUACUAUAGUCAGUGCAGUGUCUCUCGGAUAUAGACCACCUCCAGUAUGAGCAGGUGACCCGAAACAUCCGCCACAUCCCCUGGGAUAGUGGUAACAUCGGAUAUCCCUAUCUGUGGAAUGUGGUUAGUUUCCUAAGACAAAACUUUACUGUUAUUCUUACCAAGAGGAAUGAGAAAACCGAACUGUUGAGAAGUCUCCUACAAAUUUUU
RNAcentral lists this long non-coding RNA (2269 nucleotides) under Limulus polyphemus (Atlantic horseshoe crab). Its description in RNAcentral is "uncharacterized LOC111089109". The record is from RNAcentral. Lineage: Eukaryota; Metazoa; Arthropoda; Merostomata; Xiphosura; Limulidae.